RNAcentral lists this ribosomal RNA (253 nucleotides) under uncultured bacterium. Its description in RNAcentral is "partial 16S ribosomal RNA". It matches the Rfam family "Bacterial small subunit ribosomal RNA", at positions 524 to 776 of the family's 1533-position model. The record is from RNAcentral.
UACGAGAGGUGCGAGCGUUAUUCGGAAUUAUUGGGCGUAAAGGGUGCGCAGACGGUUUGUUAAGUCAAUUGUUUAAUUCCUCGGCCUAACUGAGGUUCAGCAGUAGAAACUGAUAAACUAGAGUAUGAGAGAGAGGAGUGGAAUUCUCGGAGUAGCGGUAAAAUGCGUAGAUCUCGAGAGGAACACCGAUGGCGAAGGCAGCUCCUUGGCUCAUUACUGACGUUCAUGCACGAAAGCGUGGGGAGCAAACAGG